RNAcentral lists this ribosomal RNA (403 nucleotides) under uncultured bacterium. Its description in RNAcentral is "partial 16S ribosomal RNA". It matches the Rfam family "Bacterial small subunit ribosomal RNA", at positions 30 to 526 of the family's 1533-position model. The record is from RNAcentral.
AUUGAACGCUGGCGGCAGGCCUAACACAUGCAAGUCGAGCGAGCGGCGGACGGGUGAGUAAUGUAUGGGGACUGCCCGAUAGAGGGGGAUAACUACUGGAAACGGUGGCUAAUACCGCAUACUAUCGGAUAACCCAUAUGGGAUUAGCUAGUAGGUGGGGUAAAGGCUCACCUAGGCGACGAUCUCUAGCUGGUCUGAGAGGAUGAUCCGCCACACCUGGAAUGAAACACGGGCCAGAAUUCCACGGGGGGCGGAGGGGGGAAUAUUGCACAAUGGGCGCAAGCCUGAUACAGCCAUGCCGCGUGUAUGAAGAAGGCCUUAGGGUUGUAAAGUACUUUCAGCGGGGAGGCGUUACCCGCAGAAGAAGCACCGGCUAACUCCGUGCCAGCAGCCGCGGUAAUUC